UACAUGGGGUGCAAACGUUGCUCGGAAUCAUUGGGCGUAAAGCGCGCGUAGGCGGUUACUUAAGUCGAAUGUGAGAGCCCUCGGCUUAACCGAGGAAGUGCAUCCGAAACUGAGUAGCUAGAGUACGAAAGAGGGUCGCGGAAUUCCCGGUGUAGAGGUGAAAUUCGUAGAUAUCGGGAGGAACACCGGUGGCGAAGGCGGCGACCUGGGUCGAGACUGACGCUGAGGCGCGAAAGCGUGGGGAGCAAACAGG
This 253-nucleotide ribosomal RNA is filed under the name uncultured bacterium. RNAcentral describes it as "partial 16S ribosomal RNA". It matches the Rfam family "Bacterial small subunit ribosomal RNA", at positions 524 to 776 of the family's 1533-position model. The record is from RNAcentral.